UUUCCGUUGGUGAACCAGCGGAGGGAUCAUUACCGAGUUUACAACCCCCAAACCCCUCCGACCAUCCCUUUUUUUGCCUCGGCGGUGCCUGCUUCGGCCCACCCCCACCCGCCCCACACCCCUGAUUUUACCCCCUCUCUUCCGCGCCACUCAUUACAUCAUUCAAACCCUUCCACAACGGAUCUGUUGGUUCUGGCAUCGCUUAAGCACACCUUACCACGCACGAGCCCCCGUCUUCGCCCUCGCUACAUAGUGCUACAUCGUAUGACGGCCGCCGCC
RNAcentral lists this unclassified non-coding RNA (279 nucleotides) under plant metagenome. RNAcentral describes it as "partial contains small subunit ribosomal RNA, internal transcribed spacer 1, and 5.8S ribosomal RNA". The record is from RNAcentral.